RNAcentral lists this long non-coding RNA (1786 nucleotides) under Helianthus annuus (common sunflower). RNAcentral describes it as "hypothetical non coding rna". The record is from RNAcentral. Lineage: Eukaryota; Viridiplantae; Streptophyta; Magnoliopsida; Asterales; Asteraceae.
GAAUACCUACACUUGAAAACCCAAAACACCUAUACCUUCGAACCCUCAAAUAUUUCAAUUCCCCAAACCAGAUUACACUACACCUUUCCUUUUCUGUUAUGGUUAGAAAAAAAGGGGGCUCAACAACAUCAUCUAGUUCAAGCUUGCUUCAAGGAGUUUAAGUCUUGUGUUCAAGUAUACAAGCUAAAGAUUUCUUUCUCUCAUUCUCUCACCUUCUCCUUGCUUGCUCUACGGCACGACAAGGUUAUUUCAAGCUUCGGGAUUUGCUUCUCUUUGUUUGAUAUAUGAAGUAUUUUGCUUUAUUGAUCAGGUUGCAUUUUCAAAACUAUGGAACGGUUGGAAUAGGAGAACCCAUUGGAGAUUCGAGUACUUAGCGGCGUUCACUGUUUAGAAGUCUUAGCCUUUUGCUUCCGCUGUGCAAUGAAGAUACCGGUCCAGUCACACCAGCUCUGAUAAUUUCGGGGUGUGACACUAUUUGACAUUCUUUCUUUGUGGGGGAUAUGUAUGUUAAAUACCUAUGGUGGAGUAAAAGUUGUUUUUUCUGCCAUGAAGAUGAUCGACUCAGAACCACGAGGCAGCUUGAAAGAGCCGGUUGAGGAUAAAAGUAACUAAGUGCAUUCAAGUUGUUAAAAUCUCGAAAUAUGCCGGUUGGGGCGUGAUGGCCAGUCAUCGCAGGUCCACUUGAAUUCAUUGAUGCGAUGACUUUAGCACAGGCGUGGACUCUUCUGUAUCCAUUAUCUACUUAUAAGGUCCACUUGAAUUUGCUGAUGCAAUGACUUUAGCACAGGUAUGCCACCUAUUGUAUUCACAAUUUCCAUUGAUUUCUCUACAUUAAUUAGUUGUUCACUGUUUACAUUCAUUCCUAUAGUUCUAUGCAUGUUAUGUUUUAAUGACACCUUUAGUGGUCCGGGUUUUUUUUUUCCGGAUAUUGUUUUGCUAAGUGUUUGUUUUAAAAUCGUCGUUAGUUUUUUACAUGUUUGAAGAGCAGGUUAAUCAGGAGAAGCUCAUAUUGUUACAUAAUCCUACAUUGAUUUAAAUUGCUUUAACAUGUACCACCAAGUAAGCUACUUUUUGAAUCAAUACUUUUUCAAGUUUUAAGUUUCUUGAAGAAAAACUCAUUUGUUCCAACAGGUGUAAUAGGAAAAAGUCACAGACGAAUGCUUAUAGUAUUUUUUGUUGUUUAUAUUGCUUUUUGAUUAUUUAAUAUAUUUCUUUUAAUAAAAGCUCAUUUGUUCAUACUUUAAAAACAACUUUUUGAUUAAACUUUUGGCCAUUUAUGAUUUAUUUUGGCCAUUUAUGAUGUAUUAUUGUUGAACAAAAUACCACUUUGAAUAAAUUUUGAUCCAUUUGACCCAUUUCUAUUUAAAGAUAUUUUUUGAUAAAAUAUUGUAGUUCGAAUAAUAUAGCGCAUUUAAUAAUUUGUUUAAUUUAAAUAAAAAAUCAUAGCAUUGGUCAAUGGUGGACUUUCUCCUUCAUCUCAGGUCCUCAACAUGCCAUUGCCACCAGAUUUCAGUAUGGUUGUUUUUGUGAUUUAUAUAUGGGUUUUUCAACCGGAAAGCUAUUGGGUCGGUUAAUCAAGAGUUUAUAAUAAUGGGAAUAGAUCUACAUUAACAUUGUUAAAUGAUAUAAUUUACUUUGAGACCACCUGUGUAAUACUUAAUUUCAGUUAUAAGAAUGGUUUAGAGAUUUAUGAUUUAUAAGUGUUUAUAAUUUUUUGUGAGACCACCCGUGUAACACACGGGAACUUAGACUAGUUAGUCUUAUAUGUAAUAGUUAUGAGGUUUGU